This is a transfer RNA of Streptomyces sp. MP131-18, 85 nucleotides long. It matches the Rfam family "tRNA". Rfam says of the family: Transfer RNA (tRNA) molecules are approximately 80 nucleotides in length. The record is from Rfam. NCBI's taxonomy places the organism in Bacteria, Bacillati, Actinomycetota, Actinomycetes, Kitasatosporales, Streptomycetaceae.
GUCCGGGUGGCGGAAUGGCAGACGCGCUAGCUUGAGGUGCUAGUGCCCGAUUAAGGGCGUGGGGGUUCAAGUCCCCCCUCGGACA